Lolium rigidum is the source of this 1237-nucleotide long non-coding RNA. RefSeq lists it as uncharacterized. NCBI's taxonomy places the organism in Eukaryota, Viridiplantae, Streptophyta, Magnoliopsida, Poales, Poaceae. The record is from RefSeq and is a predicted model, not a curated record. The transcript is spliced from 5 exons.
CCGCCGCCCUGACGGAGGACGCGUGUUUCCCAUCGCGUGCUGCAGGCGCCAUGCCCGGAUUCCACACCGUCACUCCGAGCGCCGCCGAGAUCUACGGUUGAUAGAACCAGCGUCGCAAACGCCCGUCCCUCUGUACAUUGAGAACGCUGGCCCCACGAUCGAUCCACCAAUUCAGCGCACAGGUCGUUGAGGACGCUGGCCGCCGAUUCGUUCGCCGCCGGACUCGUCGGUCGUCGCGUCUCAGGCGGCAGAGGCACGCAGGUCUCGAUAUCUUCUCUUGGAUAAGAUGUCUGGAUCUUCGUACUCUCGUUGUGCUGACAAUCUCCACCUGUCUAGCUCAAGGUUCUAUAUAGCAAGAUAGCAGUUAAAUAAAUCUGAGCUUGUUCCUAGAAAGCCAACUCCACUGAAGUCUCCCGUAUCUUUCCAACUGAUGUAGGCCGCUGAGUCAAAGUCAAAUGCUCAAUGUAACGGCUAAUUAGCGUUGAGAAACACCUAUGUGUUGCUGCACCCGUAAUAUUACAUAUACAAGGUUCAAUUCAGUCCAGGUUGUAUCUAUUCUUUUAUGUCCGUCUUUGUCAUAAGUACAUGAGGUUUUGGGUUCUUGGCCACCCAUAUGUAUUAUCUUAGUUCUCUGCAUGCUGAAUAUAGACAAACGUGGUACUAUCUUAUAUAUAUUUGCACACUAAGUAUAGCCAAAAGGGGUGCCUACCUUGUAGUGUUGGCCUUCCAAUUGAUACAUGCCUACAGGAUAACUCAUGCUAUUUUUGGUUGGUUUGUUUUACGGAUUCUUCAUAGCUAUAGUAUGUGGACCGAGCAUCACUCAACAACACUGCAUGUUCUUUGAAAACAACACUUCGCCCUGCUCAAUAUACCAUUCAUAGGAUAGUAUCAUUGUCAAUAAAUGGUUAUUGGUGAUGUUGUAACUCAUGAUUUUCCAGUGUAACUAAAUGGUUAUUGAUGAUGUUGUAACUCAUGAUUUUCCUAUGUAAUACAUGCAGCUUUCAAUCUCAAGCCCAUCUAGCAUUUUGCAUCGAGAUCCUGGUGUACACGUUGGACUACGAGGAAAGGAUGCUAUCACAUUUCACAAGAAGAGCGUCCCGUACGGGAUUUGUGUGUUUUAGCAUGAAUUCAACAAGGAGGGAAUGUUUCUUGAUCUAUUUGUUGUGCUCUGUUGUGAUCCCCGCCAUUGUCUUCCAGAACCUUCAGGCGCAACUAGAGAGCAGCUUGCCCAUUGCCA